UACGGGGGGGGCAAGCGUUGUUCGGAAUUACUGGGCGUAAAGGGCUCGUAGGCGGCCAACUAAGUCGGAUGUGAAAUCCCCAGGCUUAACCUGGGAACUGCAUCCGAUACUGGAUGGCUUGAAUCCGGGAGAGGGAUGCGGAAUUCCAGGUGUAGUGGUGAAAUGCGUAGAUAUCUGGAGGAACACCGGUGGCGAAGGCGGCAUCCUGGACCGGCAUUGACGCUGAGGAGCGAAAGCCAGGGGAGCAAACGGG
This 253-nucleotide ribosomal RNA is filed under the name uncultured bacterium. Its description in RNAcentral is "partial 16S ribosomal RNA". It matches the Rfam family "Bacterial small subunit ribosomal RNA", at positions 524 to 776 of the family's 1533-position model. The record is from RNAcentral.